RNAcentral lists this ribosomal RNA (429 nucleotides) under Bacteroidota bacterium. RNAcentral describes it as "Bacteroidetes bacterium partial 16S ribosomal RNA". It matches the Rfam family "Bacterial small subunit ribosomal RNA", at positions 355 to 776 of the family's 1533-position model. The record is from RNAcentral. Lineage: Bacteria; Pseudomonadati; Bacteroidota.
UAGGGAAUCUUCGGCAAUGGGGGGAACCCUGACCGAGCAACGCCGCGUGAGUGAAGAAGGUUUUCGGAUCGUAAAGCUCUGUUGUUAAGGAAGAACGAGUGUGAGAAUGGAAAGUUCAUACUGUGACGGUACUUAAUCAGAAAGGGACGGCUAACUACGUGCCAGCAGCCGCGGUAAUACGUAGGUCCCGAGCGUUGUCCGGAUUUAUUGGGCGUAAAGCGAGCGCAGGCGGUUAGAUAAGUCUGAAGUGAAAGGCAGUGGCUCAACCAUUGUAGGCUUUGGAAACUGUUUAACUUGAGUGCAGAAGGGGAGAGUGGAAUUCCAUGUGUAGCGGUGAAAUGCGUAGAUAUAUGGAGGAACACCGGUGGUGAAAGCGGCUCUCUGGUCUGUAACUGACGCUGAGGCUCGAAAGCGUGGGGAGCGAACAGG